This 724-nucleotide ribosomal RNA is filed under the name uncultured eukaryote. RNAcentral describes it as "SSU rRNA". It matches the Rfam family "Eukaryotic small subunit ribosomal RNA", at positions 125 to 858 of the family's 1831-position model. The record is from RNAcentral.
UGGUACCUUGCUACUUGGAUAACCGUAGUAAUUCUAGAGCUAAUACAUGCAGGAAUUCCCGACUUCGGAAGGGAUGUAUUUAUUAGAUAAGAAACCAAACCGGUCUCCGGUUGUGUGCUGAGUCAUAAUAACUGCUCGAAUCGCACAGCUCUACGCUGGCGAUGGUUCAUUCAAAUUUCUGCCCUAUCAGCUUUCGAUGGUAGGAUAGAGGCCUACCAUGGCGUUAACGGGUAACGGAGAAUUAGGGUUCGAUUCCGGAGAGGGAGCCUGAGAAAUGGCUACCACAUCCAAGGAAGGCAGCAGGCGCGUAAAUUGCCCGAAUCCUGACACAGGGAGGUAGUGACAAGAAAUAACAAUACAGGGCUCUCUGAGUCUUGUAAUUGGAAUGAGUACAAUUUACAUCUCUUCACGAGGAUCAAUUGGAGGGCAAGUCUGGUGCCAGCAGCCGCGGUAAUUCCAGCUCCAAUAGCGUAUAUUAAAGUUGUUGCAGUUAAAACGCUCGUAGUCGGAUUUCGGGGCGGGGCCGCCGGUCUGCCGAUAGGUAUGCACUGGCGGGCGCGUCCUUUUUCCCGGAGACGGCUGCUACUCUUAACUGAGCGGUGGUCGGAGACGGGAUGUUUACUUUGAAAAAAUCAGAGUGUUUCAAGCAGGCAGUCGCUCUUGCAUGGAUUAGCAUGGGAUAAUGAAAUAGGACUCUGGUGCUAUUUUGUUGGUUUCGAGCACG